Molecule: ribosomal RNA, 396 nt
Filed under: uncultured bacterium
Lineage: Bacteria
Description: bacterial SSU rRNA
Rfam family: Bacterial small subunit ribosomal RNA
Source: RNAcentral
GACGAACGCUGGCGGCGUGCUUAAUACAUGCAAGUCGAGCGAGGUCCAUCUGGUGGCAACACCAGUGAAGGCCGAGCGGCGAACGGGUGAGUAACACGUGAGCAACCUGCCCCGAAGUCUGGAAUAACAUCGGGAAACCGGUGCUAAUACCGGAUCGCCCCACCUGACCGCAUGAUCGGGUGAGGAAAGAUUUAUCGCUUCGGGGAGGGGCUCGCGGCCUAUCAGCAGUUGGUGGGGUAACGGCCUACCAAGGCAUCGACGGGUAGCUGGUCUGAGAGGACGACCAGCCACACUGGGACUGAGACACGGCCCAGACUCCUACGGGAGGCAGCAGUAGGGAAUCUUGCGCAAUGGGCGAAAGCCUGACGCAGCAACGCCGCGUGGGGGAUGACGGCC